GUGCUUGCUUCGGCAACACAUAUACUCAAACCGGAAUGAUACAGAGAACAUUAGCAUGACCACUGGCACAAGGGUGACAUGCAAAUUAAUGAAGCAGUCCAUAUUUUU
This is a small nuclear RNA of Octodon degus (degu), 108 nucleotides long. The record is from Ensembl. Lineage: Eukaryota; Metazoa; Chordata; Mammalia; Rodentia; Octodontidae.